RNAcentral lists this ribosomal RNA (2780 nucleotides) under Stenotrophomonas maltophilia. RNAcentral's name for it is "23S ribosomal RNA". It matches the Rfam family "Bacterial large subunit ribosomal RNA". Lineage: Bacteria; Pseudomonadati; Pseudomonadota; Gammaproteobacteria; Lysobacterales; Lysobacteraceae. The record is from RNAcentral.
GGUCAAGCGAAUAAGCGCACACGGUGGAUGCCUUGGCGGUCAGAGGCGAUGAAGGACGUGGCAGCCUGCGAAAAGUAUCGGGGAGCUGGCAACAAGCUUUGAUCCGGUAAUGUCCGAAUGGGGAAACCCACCCGCUUGCGGGUAUCCUGCAGUGAAUACAUAGCUGCUGGAAGCGAACCUGGUGAACUGAAAUAUCUAAGUAACCAGAGGAAAAGAAAUCAACCGAGAUUCCGUAAGUAGCGACGAGCGAACGCGGACUAGCCCUUAAGCUGGAUUGGUUCUAGGAAAACGCUCUGGAAAGAGCGGCCAUAGAAGGUGAUAGCCCUGUAUCUGAAAGGGCCAUUCCAGUGAAGACGAGUAGGGCGGGGCACGUGAAACCCUGUCUGAACAUGGGGGGACCAUCCUCCAAGGCUAAAUACUACUGACCGACCGAUAGUGAACCAGUACCGUGAGGGAAAGGCGAAAAGAACCCCGGAGAGGGGAGUGAAAUAGAACCUGAAACCGUGUGCGUACAAGCAGUAGGAGCUCCGCAAGGAGUGACUGCGUACCUUUUGUAUAAUGGGUCAGCGACUUACUGUUCGUGGCAAGCUUAACCGUAUAGGGGAGGCGAAGGGAAACCGAGUCUGAUAAGGGCGCAUAGUCGCGGGCAGUAGACCCGAAACCGGGUGAUCUAGUCAUGCCCAGGGUGAAGGUGCGGUAACACGCACUGGAGGCCCGAACCCACUCCCGUUGCAAAGGUAGGGGAUGAGGUGUGAUUAGGAGUGAAAAGCUAAUCGAACCCGGAGAUAGCUGGUUCUCCUCGAAAGCUAUUUAGGUAGCGCCUCAUAUGUAUCCUCUCGGGGGUAGAGCACUGUUAUGGCUAGGGGGUCAUCGCGACUUACCAAACCAUUGCAAACUCCGAAUACCGAGACGGACUGUAUGGGAGACACACGGCGGGUGCUAACGUCCGUCGUGAAAAGGGAAACAACCCAGACCCACAGCUAAGGUCCCAAAUUNNNNNNNNNNNNNNNNNNNNNNNNNNNNNNNNNNNNNNGAACCGAAGCUUGGGGUGCAUACUUUGUAUGCGCGGUAGAGGAGCGUUCCGUAAGCCGUUGAAGGUGGAUUGAGAAGUCUGCUGGAGGUAUCGGAAGUGCGAAUGCUGACAUGAGUAACGAUAAUGCGGGUGAAAAACCCGCACGCCGAAAGCCCAAGGUUUCCUUGCGCAACGUUAAUCGGCGCAGGGUGAGUCGGCCCCUAAGGCGAGGACGAAAGUCGUAGUCGAUGGGAAGCAGGUUAAUAUUCCUGCACCUCGCGUAAGUGCGAUGGAGGGACGGAGAAGGUUAGGUGUACCAGGCGUUGGUUGUCCUGGGGAAAGGCGGUAGGUUUGGAUCUUUGGCAAAUCCGGGAUCCUCUAAGACCGAGCACCGAGACGAGCCUUUAUGGCGAAGUCACUGAUACCACGCUUCCAGGAAAAGCUCCUAAGCUUCAGCUUACGCAGACCGUACCGUAAACCGACACAGGUGGGUAGGAUGAGAAUUCUCAGGCGCUUGAGAGAACUCGGGUGAAGGAACUAGGCAACAUGGCACCGUAACUUCGGGAGAAGGUGCACCCUUUUUGGUGGCUCGUGCGAGCUAUAGCUGAAGAGGGUCGCAGUAACCAGGCCGCUGCGACUGUUUAUCAAAAACACAGCACUCUGCAAACACGAAAGUGGACGUAUAGGGUGUGACGCCUGCCCGGUGCUGGAAGGUUAAUUGAUGGGGUCAGCCGCAAGGCGAAGCUCUUGAUCGAAGCCCCAGUAAACGGCGGCCGUAACUAUAACGGUCCUAAGGUAGCGAAAUUCCUUGUCGGGUAAGUUCCGACCUGCACGAAUGGCGUAACGACAGCGGCGCUGUCUCCACCCGAGACUCAGUGAAAUUGAAAUCGCUGUGAAGAUGCAGCGUUCCCGUGGCAAGACGGAAAGACCCCGUGAACCUUUACUAUAGCUUUACACUGAACGUUGAGUUCGUCUGUGUAGGAUAGGUGGGAGGCUAUGAAACUGUGGCGCUAGCUGCAGUGGAGCCAUCCUUGAAAUACCACCCUGUCGUGCUUGACGUUCUAACCUGGGCCCAUUAUCUGGGUCGGGGACCGUGUAUGGUGGGUAGUUUGACUGGGGCGGUCUCCUCCUAAAGAGUAACGGAGGAGCUCGAAGGUACGCUCAGCGCGGUCGGACAUCGCGCACUGUGUGCAAAGGCAUAAGCGUGCUUGACUGCAAGAUCGACGGAUCAAGCAGGUAGGAAACUAGGACUUAGUGAUCCGGUGGUUCUGUAUGGAAGGGCCAUCGCUCAACGGAUAAAAGGUACUCCGGGGAUAACAGGCUGAUACCGCCCAAGAGUUCAUAUCGACGGCGGUGUUUGGCACCUCGAUGUCGGCUCAUCACAUCCUGGGGCUGUAGUCGGUCCCAAGGGUAUGGCUGUUCGCCAUUUAAAGUGGUACGCGAGCUGGGUUCAGAACGUCGUGAGACAGUUCGGUCCCUAUCUGCCAUGGGCGUUGGAGAUUUGAGAGGGGCUGCUCCUAGUACGAGAGGACCGGAGUGGACGAACCUCUGGUGUUCCGGUUGUCACGCCAGUGGCAUUGCCGGGUAGCUAUGUUCGGAAGCGAUAACCGCUGAAAGCAUCUAAGCGGGAAGCGCGCCUCAAGAUGAGAUCUCCCGGGGCACAAGCCCCCUGAAGGAACCAUGUAGACUACGUGGUUGAUAGGUCAGGUGUGUAAGUACAGCAAUGUAUUGAGCUAACUGAUACUAAUGAUCCGUGCGGCUUGACCAU